Molecule: ribosomal RNA, 425 nt
Filed under: uncultured bacterium
Lineage: Bacteria
Description: bacterial SSU rRNA
Rfam family: Bacterial small subunit ribosomal RNA
Source: RNAcentral
AGGGAAUCUUCCACAAUGGACGAAAGUCUGAUGGAGCAACGCCGCGUGAGUGAUGAAGGUUUUCGGAUCGUAAAACUCUGUUGUAAGGGAAGAACAAGUACGUUAGGAAAUGAACGUACCUUGACGGUACCUUAUUAGAAAGCCACGGCUAACUACGUGCCAGCAGCCGCGGUAAUACGUAGGUGGCAAGCGUUGUCCGGAUUUAUUGGGCGUAAAGCGCGCGCAGGCGGUUUCUUAAGUCUGAUGUGAAGGCCCACGGCUUAACCGUGGAGGGUCAUUGGAAACUGGGAGACUUGAGUGCAGAAGAGGAAAGUGGAAUUCCAAGUGUAGCGGUGAAAUGCGUAGAGAUUUGGAGGAACACCAGUGGCGAAGGCGACUUUCUGGUCUGUAACUGACGCUGAGGCUCGAAAGCAUGGGUAGCGAAC